CACUGUGACGGAAUUCUGGUCUAGAACCUCUACAAGGCUUUCGUUUUGACCAAGCUGAGAUGUGAUCAGGCCGUAUAAAGUCCACGCUACCGGUGAUCCCCAGUAAUACCACCUCCACCAGAUCGGUAUUUGCUGUAAUGUUCAGGUUAGUUUAAAUCUGUUAGAUUUUAUUAACGUAAUUCAUUCUAAUCAGUGACUUUUAGAUUAGUGAUUUAGGUUGUCAUACCGUUCUAGGGAUCAGGAAACCGGAGAACAAGUUCCAGAAAUUGAGGAAGAAGGUCAUAGAAAUGGCUGCAAUCUGAUAAUUGGGUGUGAGGGCCACAAGCAUCAUUCCGUAUAAUGUGAAAUAGACAAAGG
This 357-nucleotide long non-coding RNA is filed under the name Lactuca sativa (garden lettuce). Its description in RNAcentral is "long non-coding RNA (LSAT_LNC001862)". The record is from RNAcentral. Lineage: Eukaryota; Viridiplantae; Streptophyta; Magnoliopsida; Asterales; Asteraceae.